RNAcentral lists this ribosomal RNA (1418 nucleotides) under Pantoea dispersa. Its description in RNAcentral is "bacterial SSU rRNA". It matches the Rfam family "Bacterial small subunit ribosomal RNA". Lineage: Bacteria; Pseudomonadati; Pseudomonadota; Gammaproteobacteria; Enterobacterales; Erwiniaceae. The record is from RNAcentral.
UGCAAGUCGAACGGCAGCACAGAAGAGCUUGCUCUUUGGGUGGCGAGUGGCGGACGGGUGAGUAAUGUCUGGGAAACUGCCCGAUGGAGGGGGAUAACUACUGGAAACGGUAGCUAAUACCGCAUAACGUCGCAAGACCAAAGUGGGGGACCUUCGGGCCUCACACCAUCGGAUGUGCCCAGAUGGGAUUAGCUAGUAGGUGGGGUAAUGGCUCACCUAGGCGACGAUCCCUAGCUGGUCUGAGAGGAUGACCAGCCACACUGGAACUGAGACACGGUCCAGACUCCUACGGGAGGCAGCAGUGGGGAAUAUUGCACAAUGGGCGCAAGCCUGAUGCAGCCAUGCCGCGUGUAUGAAGAAGGCCUUCGGGUUGUAAAGUACUUUCAGCGGGGAGGAAGGCGGUGAGGUUAAUAACCUCGCCGAUUGACGUUACCCGCAGAAGAAGCACCGGCUAACUCCGUGCCAGCAGCCGCGGUAAUACGGAGGGUGCAAGCGUUAAUCGGAAUUACUGUGCGUAAAGCGCACGCAGGCGGUCUGUUAAGUCAGAUGUGAUAUCCCCGGGCUUAACGUGGGAACUGCAUUUGAAACUGGCAGGCUUGAGUCUCGUAGAGGGGGGUAGAAUUCCAGGUGUAGCGGUGAAAUGCGUAGAGAUGUGGAGGAAUACCGGUGGCGAAGGCGGCCUCCUGGACGAAGACUGACGCUCAGGUGCGAGAGCGUGUGGAGCAAACAGGAUUAGAUACCCUGGUAGUCCACGCCGUAAACGAUGUCGACUUGGAGGUUGUGCCCUUGAGGCGUGGCUUCCGGAGCUAACGCGUUAAGUCGACCGCCUGGGGAGUACGGCCGCAAGGUUAAAACUCAAAUGAAUUGACGGGGGCCCGCACAAGCGGUGGAGCAUGUGGUUUAAUUCGAUGCAACGCGAAGAACCUUACCUGGCCUUGACAUCCAGAGAACUUAGCAGAGAUGCUUUGGUGCCUUCGGGAACUCUGAGACAGGUGCUGCAUGGCUGUCGUCAGCUCGUGUUGUGAAAUGUUGGGUUAAGUCCCGCAACGAGCGCAACCCUUAUCCUUUGUUGCCAGCGGUUCGGCCGGGAACUCAAAGGAGACUGCCGGUGAUAAACCGGAGGAAGGUGGGGAUGACGUCAAGUCAUCAUGGCCCUUACGGCCAGGGCUACACACGUGCUACAAUGGCGCAUACAAAGAGAAGCGACCUCGCGAGAGCAAGCGGACCUCAUAAAGUGCGUCGUAGUCCGGAUUGGAGUCUGCAACUCGACUCCAUGAAGUCGGAAUCGCUAGUAAUCGUAGAUCAGAAUGCUACGGUGAAUACGUUCCCGGGCCUUGUACACACCGCCCGUCACACCAUGGGAGUGGGUUGCAAAAGAAGUAGGUAGCUUAACCUUCGGGAGGGCGCUUACCACUUGG